Molecule: long non-coding RNA, 151 nt
Organism: Perognathus longimembris pacificus (Pacific pocket mouse)
Lineage: Eukaryota; Metazoa; Chordata; Mammalia; Rodentia; Heteromyidae
Exons: 3
Source: RefSeq, a predicted model, not a curated record
ACAGCGCCACAUCUGGUUUUCUGGUGGUUAAUUGACAAUAAGAGUCUCACAGACUUUCUUGCAGGGGCUGGCUUUGAACCUUGAUCCUCAGAUCUCAGCCUCCUGAGUAGCUGGGAUGAUGACAGAUGUGAGCUCCCAGCAUCUGGCUUAG